RNAcentral lists this ribosomal RNA (508 nucleotides) under uncultured bacterium. RNAcentral describes it as "partial 16S ribosomal RNA". It matches the Rfam family "Bacterial small subunit ribosomal RNA", at positions 28 to 507 of the family's 1533-position model. The record is from RNAcentral.
GACGAACGCUGGCGGCGUGCCUAAUACAUGCAAGUCGAACGCUUCUUUCCUCCCGAGUGCUUGCACUCAAUUGGAAAGAGGAGUGGCGGACGGGUGAGUAACACGUGGGUAACCUACCCAUCAGAGGGGGAUAACACUUGGAAACAGGUGCUAAUACCGCAUAACAGUUUAUGCCGCAUGGCAUAAGAGUGAAAGGCGCUUUCGGGUGUCGCUGAUGGAUGGACCCGCGGUGCAUUAGCUAGUUGGUGAGGUAACGGCUCACCAAGGCCACGAUGCAUAGCCGACCUGAGAGGGUGGUCGGCCACACUGGGACUGAGACACGGCCCAGACUCCUACGGGAGGCAGCAGUAGGGAAUCUUCGGCAAUGGACGAAAGUCUGACCGAGCAACGCCGCGUGAGUGAAGAAGGUUUUCGGAUCGUAAAACUCUGUUGUUAGAGAAGAACAAGGACGUUAGUAACUGAACGUCCCCUGACGGUAUCUAACCAGAAAGCCACGGCUAACUACGUG